GAUGAACGCUGGCGGCGUGCCUAAUACAUGCAAGUCGAGCGAACAGACGAGGAGCUUACUCCUCUGACGUUAGCGGCGGACGGGUGAGUAACACGUGGAUAACCUACCUAUAAGACUGGGAUAACUUCGGGAAACCGGAGCUAAUACCGGAUAACAUGUUGAACCGCAUGGUUCAACAGUGAAAGACGGUCUUGCUGUCACUUAUAGAUGGAUCCGCGUCGCAUUAGCUAGUUGGUAAGGUAACGGCUUACCAAGGCAACGAUGCGUAGCCGACCUGAGAGGGUGAUCGGCCACACUGGAACUGAGACACGGUCCAGACACCUACGGGAGGCAGCAGUAGGGAAUCUUCCGCAAUGGGCGAAAGCCUGACGGAGCAACGCCGCGUGAGUGAAGAAGGUCUUCGGAUCGUAAAACUCUGUUAUUAGGGAAGAACAAAUGUGUAAGUAACUAUGCACGUCUUGACGGUACCUAAUCAGAAAGCCACGGCUAACUACGUG
RNAcentral lists this ribosomal RNA (497 nucleotides) under uncultured bacterium. Its description in RNAcentral is "partial 16S ribosomal RNA". It matches the Rfam family "Bacterial small subunit ribosomal RNA", at positions 28 to 507 of the family's 1533-position model. The record is from RNAcentral.